UACAUGGGGUGCAAACGUUGCUCGGAAUUAUUGGGCGUAAAGCGCGCGUAGGUGGUUACCUAAGUCGGAUGUGAAAGCCCUCGGCUUAACUGAGGAAGUGCACCCGAAACUGGGUAGCUAGAGUACUAAAGAGGGUCGCGGAAUUCCCGGUGUAGAGGUGAAAUUCGUAGAUAUCGGGAGGAACACCGGUGGCGAAGGCAGGUCUCUGGGCCACUACUGACGCUGAGAAGCGAAAGCAUGGGGAGCGAACAGG
This 253-nucleotide ribosomal RNA is filed under the name uncultured bacterium. RNAcentral describes it as "partial 16S ribosomal RNA". It matches the Rfam family "Bacterial small subunit ribosomal RNA", at positions 524 to 776 of the family's 1533-position model. The record is from RNAcentral.